Molecule: ribosomal RNA, 253 nt
Filed under: uncultured bacterium
Lineage: Bacteria
Description: partial 16S ribosomal RNA
Rfam family: Bacterial small subunit ribosomal RNA
Source: RNAcentral
UACGUAGGUGACAAGCGUUGUCCGGAUUUACUGGGCGUAAAGGGCGCGUAGGCGGCCUGCUAAGUCACACGUGAAAUCCCUCGGCUCAACCGGGGAACUGCGUGUGAUACUGGCGGGCUUGAAUUCGGGAGAGGGAUGUGGAAUUCCAGGUGUAGCGGUGAAAUGCGUAGAGAUGUGGAGGAACACCGAUGGCGAAGGCAGCCCCCUGGGCCGAUACUGACGCUCAGGCACGAAAGCGUGGGGAGCAAACAGG